ACUGACUCUAGCCCAAACACAUAUCAACACAACUACAACUAAAAUCUAAACUAAAGCAUUCAAUUCAUAAUUAGAAGUAUAGGAGAUAGAAACUUAACUAAGGCGCUAUAGAGAUAGUACCGCAAGGGAAAGAUGAAAGAUGGAACAACAGUGAGAAAAAGCAAAGAUUAACCCUUGUACCUUUUGCAUAAUGAACUAGCCAGAAUUCACCUAGCAAAGAGAACUUCAGUUAGGUACCCCGAAACCAGACGAGCUACUUACGAGCAGCUAAUAGAGCAAAUUCAUCUGUGUCGCAAAAUAGUGAAGUGACUUGUAAGUAGAGGUGAAAAGCCAAUCGAGCCUGGUGAUAGCUGGUUGUCCAGAGUAGAAUCUCAGUUCAACUUUAAGUACCUACCUAAAGAAACCCUAAUCUUAAUGUAUACUUAAAUGUUAAUCUAAGGGGGUACAGCUCCUUAGAACUAGGAAAAACCUUGAUUAGAGAGUAAAAAAUUAUUAACCCAUAGUUGGCCUAAAAGCAGCCACCAAUUGAGAAAGCGUUCAAGCUCAACAGUAAACACCCAUAAUAAUACCGCAAACAACUGCCAACUCCUAAACUUCAACUGGACCAAUCCACAUAUAUGUGGAUGAGACACUGCUAGCAUUAGUAACAAGAAAUAAUUCUCCCGGCACAAGCCUAUAUCAGAUCGGAUGCCCACUGAUAGUUAACAACACAAUAAGACAUAAAUCCAACUCAAGUUGACUUAUUAUACAAAUUGUUGACCCAACACCGGAGUGCACAAACCUCAAGGGAAAGAUUAAAAAGAGUAAAAGGAACUCGGCAAACACAAACCCCGCCUGUUUACCAAAAACAUCACCUCUAGCAUAAAAAGUAUUAGAGGCACUGCCUGCCCAGUGACAUAAGUUAAACGGCCGCGGUAUCCUGACCGUGCAAAGGUAGCAUAAUCAUUUGUUCCUUAAAUAGGGACUUGUAUGAACGGCCACACGAGGGUUUAACUGUCUCUUACUCUAAAUCAGUGAAAUUGACCUCCCCGUGAAGAGGCGGGGAUAAAAAAAUAAGACGAGAAGACCCUAUGGAGCUUUAAUUAACUAACUCACAUAUAACAAUCUUAACUCGACAGAGAAUAAAUAGCAUAUUCUGAGUUAGCAAUUUCGGUUGGGGUGACCUCGGAGAACAAAAAAUCCUCCGAAGCGAUUUAGCCAAGACAUAACAAGUCAAAGCAUCCUUUCAAAUAAUUGAUCCAAUAAGUUGAUCAAUGGAACCAGUUACCCUAGGGAUAACAGCGCAAUCCUAUUUUAGAGUCCAUAUCGACAAUAGGGUUUACGACCUCGAUGUUGGAUCAGGACAUCCCAAUGGUGCAGCCGCUAUUAAUGGUUCGUUUGUUCAACGAUUAAAGUCCUACGUGAUCUGAGUUCAGACCGGAGUAAUCCAGGUCGGUUUCUAUCUAUUAGACGCUCCUCCUAGUACGAAAGGACAAGAGGAACGGGGCCAACUCACCAAGUGCGCCCCAAACUUAAUAGAUGAAUAAAUCUCAACCUAGACAGUUAUCACAACCCCUGCCCAAGAGCAGGGCUU
This 1573-nucleotide ribosomal RNA is filed under the name Tupaia belangeri (northern tree shrew). RNAcentral's name for it is "16S ribosomal RNA". It matches the Rfam family "Bacterial large subunit ribosomal RNA", at positions 426 to 2836 of the family's 2925-position model. The record is from RNAcentral. Lineage: Eukaryota; Metazoa; Chordata; Mammalia; Scandentia; Tupaiidae.